CGUGCAUUCACUAUCUACCUGAGUGAUGGCUGCUGUCUUCUAUGUUGGUUUAUUUUCUGUCUCACCUUUGCUCAUCUGUGAUGAUCUGGGAAGUGGACAGUAGCAUGAGAAAUCACCUAAUCUUAAGAAAGAGGAAAAUGCAACCCAGAAAAUUAUUGCCUAAAGUGAGAUUAGAAUUUCUUGACUUUUAAAAGACUGGGCUGGAGCAAACCUAGAUAUCAAGAAAAAUUCUCUUCAGUAAGAGCCAAUAUGAUAAAACCUGAAAUUAUGUAUCAUGGGGAAUAAGUUGUAGGUAGGUUGGUGGUUGGUAGACAUAAGGUAUACAUUUUAUUCUAGUUUUGGAUCAUAUCAAGAUCAUGAGGCUAUUUUCUCAGGGGGGGGAAACAUGUCCUACCUAACAAGUCUAUUAGAUGGGGAAUGUGAUGGAGUAAGGGGAAUGGCAAAAGAAAGACAUUGAUUUGGAGGGGGAGGGGCACUUGCUUGCUGGGCGCAGAGAGGACUGAGUAGUUAACUGUCAGUGGCAAAAAUAACUGCCAUCCUGGGAGGUGAAAGUGUGGGGAGGGGGACAGAAUGGAGCACACAUCAGAGCUCUGUGGGCAAAAGCUGCUCUCAUGAGGAAGCCACACUGUUUCUGACCCAAUCUAAAGAGUGGCCUGGUGAACAAGGCGCUCUGUGCUUUUGGUCCCUACCAGUGAUGGCUGGGAAUAAAGAAGGUUAGAACAAAAGAAAACAUCUCGCUUCCCUGCCAAUUCCAGGCUUUCACCAAAGCUGAGUUAACCUGGCUAUAAGAUGAUUCCUGUGCUAUAGCUGCUGGAGGUAGCCUGAUCAAAAAACACCGCAAUUGUGGAGAUGAUUGAUUCUUCUUUUUAUCACCUGUAAUACCCCUAUCUUUCCUCCAUGUAACCAUUAAAGGGAGCAGUUGUGUACAAAAUGUAUUAUACACAGGUCCCACGCAGAGGAGUUAGAGGGAGGAUUUAAUACACAAGAAAAGAGGUUCCUGGUGUCCUGAGGGGCAGUUCCCUCCCUGCUGGCUACUUGAGUGGGCUAAUCUUCAGCCCCCAAAUGAGGCCUAUAUGGAAAAGGAUGACAUCGAGCAAAGGGCAUAGGUGGAAACUCCCUCCCUACAACACAUCUGCUACUCUCAGCUCAAAGGUUUAAAGAGAGCAAGAAGAUUUACUUCAGAUGGUCCGUGUCCCUGUCACCAUCCCCAUCUCCAUUUCUGACAGGAGUGUACAGGGAGGUGAAAAGAAGGUGGCUGUCAUUGGGAAACAAGAUAAUACAUACAUAGGAAAUUAAAUGGUAGUGAAUGAAUAAUGCUAAAGGCUAGAAAAAGUUGUAGAGAAGCAAAGAGAGGCCGAGAGCUGAGCCACCGCAGAGGAGAUGCCCAUCAUUGCUGGAUAAUUUAUUUUGGAAACAGGGCCGAGAAUGGGAAUCUGAUUUUCUGGCAAAAAACCCUAAUCUAUAAUAAGAGGCUAUGUUAUCUUAGCCCAACAGAGGUCUAUAUCCUGAAAUCAUAAAGGUUCAGAAGACCAGAAUACAAGCCCAGUGUUCAGGUCAAGAGAACAAGAUCCUUGGAAUCAGACACACUGGAAUAAAAAUUGAAAUUCUUUCACUUAU
Molecule: long non-coding RNA, 1617 nt
Organism: Herpailurus yagouaroundi (jaguarundi)
Lineage: Eukaryota; Metazoa; Chordata; Mammalia; Carnivora; Felidae
Exons: 4
Source: RefSeq, a predicted model, not a curated record